This 86-nucleotide transfer RNA is filed under the name Francisella frigiditurris. RNAcentral's name for it is "tRNA-Leu". It matches the Rfam family "tRNA". From Rfam's summary of the family: Transfer RNA (tRNA) molecules are approximately 80 nucleotides in length. Their secondary structure includes four short double-helical elements and three loops (D, anti-codon, and T loops). Further hydrogen bonds mediate the characteristic L-shaped molecular structure. tRNAs have two regions of fundamental functional importance: the anti-codon, which is responsible for specific mRNA codon recognition, and the 3' end, to which the tRNAs corresponding amino acid is attached (by aminoacyl-tRNA synthetases). tRNAs cope with the degeneracy of the genetic code in two manners: having more than one tRNA (with a specific anti-codon) for a particular amino acid; and 'wobble' base-pairing, i.e. permitting non-standard base-pairing at the 3rd anti-codon position. RNAcentral also lists the same sequence under 2 other names. The record is from RNAcentral. Lineage: Bacteria; Pseudomonadati; Pseudomonadota; Gammaproteobacteria; Thiotrichales; Francisellaceae.
GCACUGGUGGUGGAAUUGGUAGACACGCCAUCUUGAGGGGGUGGUGUCCGCAGGACGUGCGAGUUCGAGUCUCGCUCAGUGCACCA